This 396-nucleotide ribosomal RNA is filed under the name uncultured bacterium. Its description in RNAcentral is "bacterial SSU rRNA". It matches the Rfam family "Bacterial small subunit ribosomal RNA", at positions 361 to 774 of the family's 1533-position model. The record is from RNAcentral.
AUAUUGCACAAUGGGGGAAACCCUGAUGCAGCGACGCCGCGUGAAGGAAGAAGUAUCUCGGUAUGUAAACUUCUAUCAGCAGGGAAGAAAAUGACGGUACCUGACUAAGAAGCCCCGGCUAACUACGUGCGAGCAGCCGCGGUAAUACGUAGGGGGCAAGCGUUAUCCGGAUGUGCUGGGUGUAAAGGGAGCGUAGACGGAAGAGCAAGUCUGAUGUGAAAGGCUGGGGCUUAACCCCAGGACUGCAUUGGAAACUGUUGUUCUAGAGUGCCGGAGAGGUAUGCGGAAUUCCUAGUGUAGCGGUGAAAUGCGUAGAUAUUAGGAGGAACACCAGUGUCGAAGGCGGCUUACUGGACGGUAACUGACCUUGAGGCUCGAAAGCGUGGGGAGCAAACA